Molecule: unclassified non-coding RNA, 354 nt
Filed under: soil metagenome
Description: partial contains 5.8S ribosomal RNA, internal transcribed spacer 2, and large subunit ribosomal RNA
Rfam family: 5.8S ribosomal RNA (bases 1-120)
Source: RNAcentral
GAUGAAGAACGUAGCGAAACGCGAUAGUUAAUGUGAAUUGCAGAAUUCAGUGAAUCAUCGAGUCUUUGAACGCACAUUGCGCCCCUCGGCAUUCCGGAGGGCAUGUCUGUUUGAGCGUCAUUUCAACACCCUCGCUUUAAGCGGUAUUGAGGCGUGGAAUCCAUAUCAAUGGAACCAAGCUUUUAAAGUUGAAGGCAAGCAGAACGAAUGUCUUGAACAAAACAUAGUAAAAUCUUCACGGUUUCUCCUGUUUGUCCUCGAUGUUACGUCUCGCCCAAACAAUUAUUUUUUUAGUUUUGACCUCAGAUCAGACAAGGAUACCCGCUGAACUUAAGCAUAUCAAUAAGCGGAGGA